Molecule: long non-coding RNA, 10630 nt
Organism: Corvus hawaiiensis (hawaiian crow)
Lineage: Eukaryota; Metazoa; Chordata; Aves; Passeriformes; Corvidae
Exons: 4
Source: RefSeq, a predicted model, not a curated record
AGCGGUGCAGCGGCCCCAGCCCCAGCGGGCGGCGGGCCCUGGGCGAGCCGCGGAGUUUAGAAACCUCCCCGGGAGGGGCGGGCAGGCAGGGACAUGGCAGCACGGCGGAGAGGAGGGGCUGGGGGAGCAGGGGAGGGGUGGGCACACGGCCGCAGACAGCUUGAUGGGUCUGUUGGCCGUGGGAAUCCCUUCUUGGUAGGAGGAUGGCGACUUCGGCAGAGGGAUCUGCAGGUGUUUGUCCCUGCUUGAAAGGCUGGAGACAAAAGUCUUUAACGCGGGUGGUAUUUAUAUAUUUUAUGUGCUGUAACUGAUACAAAGCUGAUUUGUGUAUUUCCACGUAUAUAAUACAGUAUGUCCAAUGUAUACGAAACAAUCUUGCUGUGUUUUUCAACACAGUAUUUAAGAACUGUACUCGUUUGCGUUACCCCCUGCGCUGCCGUGGUCCCAGCCGGACGAGUUGCCCGCUGUGGCAGCAGUAGGGGAGUCUGAGCUGACUUUCGCGGAGGCAAUGCUACUAAAGUAGGAGAAAGCAAACUGCUCGGCUCCGUUUUAGAAACAAAGGUGACAGCCAGAUGGGUUCCUUGAGUACUGAUGAGCAGAUUUGUUAAAAAAAAAAACCCUCCUGAUUCCUUAAAGAAAUAUGGCAUAUGCAGAAUUGCAUCCUGUAUUUGCAUGUGAGUAUAAGGGAGUAAAUUUGCUGCUGUUUGCUUGCUGUUGCUUUGUUAGUUCUGUGCCCCAUAAAUUUUGAGCUGAUUUCAAACAAAUGAAACAGAGGGUUAAAGCUUGAGAUAUUAAUUCUCAAAGAAAGAACAUUCCUCUAAGUUCUGUGAACGUAGCUGGGUGGGGGAGAAUGUACUUAUGUGCAAAAAGUAAAAACAUGCAUCAUAUAUUUCAACCAUUAAUAUUGGAAUAUCAGCAUUGGGCAGAAGGGUUGUGGGACUGUUGGGAACUGAGUGUCCAGGAACUGGAAAAAUCCCACUUUUAAUCCAAAUGUAUAUUCCUAUAGGAUUCAGCAGUGUCCAAUAAGGAGCUGAUCUCACUUGAAGCCUGUCAUGGUAGACACGCAUAUUUAUCUUCUCUUUGGAUUCUCUGAUGCUCUGUUUAAGACUAGCUUGAAGCUUUGGUAUAAUUCGGUUAAAAAAUCUGACAGUCAUGAGAUGCAAUUCCCUAGGAAAUGAGGCUUCAUAUAUGUCAUUGCCUACAAAACUGUUGGUCUUAUCUGCACUUCCCUUUGCCUUUGUGUAGCCAAUAUGCUUAGGCGUGCCUUUUUCUGGCUAGUGUCAUGAACAGGUAAUUUCUGUAAUACAGAGAUGAAAAGCAGCUCCUUGAGGCUGCAGACAGUUAAUGAGUGCAUGAAGGAAAUGAUUUAUAGUGUGGGCUGAGUUACGUCUUACGUACUUUGCUGAGACUAACUCUCAGCUGGGCUAUCUCCUUUGCUUCUCUUGCAUAAACUACUAGGCAGUUUGUAAGUAGGAAUUUGCUUGUGGAAGCAGCUCCUGGUAAGGAUGCAGAGACUAUCAUUUCAUAUUGCUGCUGCCUUAGUGUUAUCAUUUUCUCAGACAGCUUCUUUGGAAGAUUGAUCAUUGAUCUACCCCUUCCCCAUGCCAGCCAUAAUGCAGUGGUUUUUUAAGACUCUUUUUGGCAGUCAUCUUUACUAAGUUGAAAACUUGAGUUCGCAUAAUUUUGGAAUUUUUUCUUUGACAGUGUUGACAACAUCAUCAGCUUUUAACUGAAUAUAUUGUUUCAUGAACCCAGGCUGAAUGAAAUGGGACCAGGCGUAUCACUUCCAGCUGUUCACCCUGUCUGUUUGUUGCCUGGCUGAUACCGUGCUGGUGGCAGGCAUAGCUGCGUUGCAUAUGAAGCAGGUAGUCCGUGCAGCUUGCAGGCUGCCUCUGUGCAGCUCAGAACCUGUGCUGAUCUAUAUUACUAUUUUGAUCUGUACACUGGAUUGCCUUUAUGCAUGACUCAGCUUCCUGUCACGGUAGCUGCCACCUCUGUGAAAGCUGAAAUGGACAGAUGCCUCAGAGUGGUAAUCUCUUCUGCUGUCCGGCUUCAAUCUGUUUGUGUUUGGGGCUCAAUGUCCUAGGCUUUAGCACCUGUGAAUAUAAAAUGCUGGGAAUGAGGCUGAAAUGGAGAGGAUAAAGAAAUGACUACAGAGAAACUAAUUUAUUGCUUUACCUGAGACUUUAUCAGUAUAAAGGCACUCUGGGUGAACUCAGCUGGGAGAUUAGUUGGUAGCUUUUCUUAAAUUAAAAAUAUUUUGUUAAUUUAACAAAUUAAAACAAUAUGAAAAAAUGUUAUGUAAACAAAAAUAAAAAUCAUGACUAGGAUUCUUCUGUGUUCAUUCUAAGCAUACAUCAAAAUUACCCUGUUUCACAUUGAAUAACAUGCUUUUAAAAUUGUUCAUUUAGAAGUGAUAUGUUAGAAUCAGUGUCUGUAUUUGAGUCCCACACUAGUUAUGUGGAAGCCGCCUGGGUGGUAGAUGGCAGAGCAUUGCCUGAAGGCAUGAUCCCCAAACUUUCACCCUGACUUUAUUGUACUUGGCAGCUGAUCUAUGGUGUCUGUCAAUAAAGCUAAUGCAGGAAGUAUCCUUUUGUCAGACAGGAGUAAAACCAGAUCUAUAAUUCUGCAAGUGACUUCAUAUAAACAUGGCUUGAUCCUGAAAAUCAAGGAGUCUGCAUAGUAACAGGGAAUCUUUGCACAUACUCACUUCUUAUGUAUUUUUCCCCCUUUCAACCUAAUGUUACUUGGUUAUCAUUCUGUCUUUAUUUGCUCCAAGUUUAAAUGAAGGAACAGAAUGCAUUCCUUCGUAAAACACAUGAGUAAAGUCAAGUUAUUCCUGAUGGCCUGAUCCUGCUGUAAUUCAAACAGAGUACUGCUUUAUUUCUUGAGUAGUUCCACAGGAAGUGGUACUGAAGGUAGGAAGAACAGUUCAGUAGUCCUGAUUCAAAUCCAUCGUGACCCGUAAAAAAUGCACCAAGUUGUUUGGCUUAAACCCAGCAUGAUAAGGGUUUGCAAAUUAAAACCGGCUUUCUGAGACAUGUCAUCCUGAGUCAAGUUGUUUAAAAAUGAGCAUUACAGAUCAGUUCUAAUAUGUUAAAGAGCUUGGAAAGUAACCUGGGUGAUAUGCUAUAGGCAGUUAACUAUGAGAAACACUUAUUCUGUCUGCAGGCUAAAUUUAAGUUCUUGUUCAUAUGUGUUUUAAUAUUUCAAUAUAUAGUGGGGUGUGCAAAAACACUUGGUAGUAGUUCAAUAUCAGUCUCACUGCUAUCAGAGGAGACAGGCUCAGUACUUCUGUUGAAGGCAUACCUGUAGCUGGCACUUUUGUAAAACAUAUACCAAAUAAGUGACAGGGUCACAACAGUUGAGGGGUUUUAUUUAUAUCUUUCAAGUGAAGCGUUUUGCCCUGCACUAAAAAACAGGCACUGCGGUAUAUAGCUGAAAUACCCAUCAGUCCUCCUCAGAUGUUUAGAGCCUGGUUCUGCUAGGGGCUGUGUGUUCAGCCUUGCUAUUGUCUUCAUUCCAAACCAGUAACUAUUUGCAGGAGUUGGGAAGGCAAAGUUUUAAGAUCAGGUCAAAAAUCAAGGCUUAAGGGUCAGCAAAUUGACCAGAAUCUUGCUGUUCGUGUAGAAGUUAAAAGACUCCUGUGUAGAGUUACAUCAUCUGAUGAAAUACUAACGCAAAGCUGAGUGUUACUUUGCUGCUCCCCAGCAAGCUGGCCCAGUUUUACAAGCAGGCGACGAAGGCAGUUGCCUAGAGCGACAGACAAAAGGAGGCAAUAAAAUCACAUUCUAAGCAAGAAUGAGACCCCGUGACUCUGUGCCUGUUUUUGCCGGUUUAAUGAGGACUCAGUGCAUUCCCCAGGCACCAUUCUCCUCAAGGUGCUGAUGUGCUGAGACUGAGCAAGCUCCUUACUACAGGAGCCAUGGCCAUGGUUUGAACAUCCCAUCUAUUUGUGCUUGUCUCUACUUCAACUUGCUGCUGCUUAAACUGAGUGGAGAAACUUUAUAUGCUCCUCCUCUGCUCCUUUUUCUUGACAGUGCUGUAUUACUUUUGCCAAAAUGCUUGGAUUGGCAGGAGAGCAGGGACAGAUGUGCUGAGACUAGAGAGCUCACAAAUUCAUGCUUCACUAAAAAAACCCCUGUUAUUAUUAGCCUUGCAAAUUAGGGAUGACAGGCUGCUGAGACUUACUGAGUUUAUAUUUAUGUCAAGAAACUCAUUGCAAGAAGUAAGACAUAUCUUAGUAAAUCUUACAUGGGUACUGGAUUGCUAUAAGGAUCUUUUACAGCCAUCUCAGGGCUCAGUUAACACUGUUAUUAAAUUUCCUAUUCUUCUUUUCUUUCUUUGCCUCUGUCUUUUGGUUCUUUUACUCAGAGUUCAGAUUGAAAUGCAGGAGAGGUGGAGUUUUUCUUCAGACUCAGAUGUUUAUUAUUUCUUAUCUAUAGUGCAGCUGCACAGGAUGUGCCUCUAAGUUAACAUGGUGAAAAUGGCCCCAGAGUUCUACCUUCUUAAAGCCCAAACUACCCAAUUAUGGAAUGUCAACUAAUUUAUUUUUACUUAUAAUCCAAUAACUAAUCAUUCAUGUUCCACACUGCAGGUUUUUUGUACCAGUACCAGAUCACCCAGGCUUGUGAAGAAGAAGGAAGAAGAAAGAACUAACCUACACCCAAAAUCCUCUAUCCUGUUACAUGUAUAUCCCAGAAACCUAAAUUUUUUACAUCUCUACAUAUUCCACCCAGUGAUAUAACAAACUUCUUUUUUAAUUACACAGCAACAAUCUCAGUGCUAUCACAUAAUUUGGGAAGCCUUUCCCAAAGCCCCAGGUCAGAUGCAGUGCGCUUUUGAGGAUCACUGCCUGUCAGCACUGAAAGACUGAAAUUCUCUGAACCCAGGGUUCCAACACACUACUUGAUGUAGGCUUCCAUUUUCCACCCAGUUUUGAGUGCUAAAAAUGUUUCCUGCCUUUUCUCCACUGCAUGUGCUCUGACACUUCUAGACUUUUGGGAAGGAUCUCUUCUGUGCUCUGAAUAGGUUGCUGUAUUAGGCUUUGCUAAUAGAUAGACGUGGUGGAGACUUCAGUAUCACUGACAAUAUGGUUAACAAGCUGUAACAGAGUACCUUUCUGGAAUGACAGUCAUUUUGCCCUACUGCUUUUUAGAGGAGCUGCUUGGAGCAGCAGAGUUUUGUGAGCUGACUGCAGGGACUGAGGUGACGCUGCGUUGGUUUGCUCUAGGUUCACAGUUGGUUUGUCAUGUUGUCCAAAGGCAUGCACUGAAAGCCUUGGUAGGUCAGCCUUCACCACACAUCAAGGUCUGUAAUAGAAAGAAAGGAAAUGCAUAUGGAUUACAAAAAGGAGACAAUUUUGUCUCCUCAGAAGUAAUAAGAAUUUGGAAAACUACUACGUUUCUUUAGACUUUGUAACUUCAGUCAAUCCCUGUGUCAUCAAAAGGAGAUUUAUGGGAGGGAGAUUAUCCCACAUUGGCCCACUGGAAUGUUCUUACUCUUUGUAACACAUUACUAUGUUCAAAAGGGGGUGCUAAACUUGGGUCUCAUAAAACAAGGACAAGUUUGAGUUUCUGUAUUUUUAAUCCAGGAAUACAUUUUUCUUGUGGGUGAGCCUGUAAUAAAAUUCUGCUAACUUCUCCAUAUUGUUUGCACAAUUUCAUAAUGAUUUUUUUUUCAUUUUCCCUUUUGAUAUUUUACUUUUGAAUAUACAGUAAUGGGAUAUGUGUUAGGUUUUCAAAUCACUUUCACAAAUGCUAAGGAGAGGACUCCAGCCUAGAAUGUGAUUUCCAAAUAUGGAGGGAUAAGAACAAUUCUGUCUUUUAGGAGCUGUCAAGCAAUGUGAUUAUGCACCUAUGUAAUAUACAGAUUAUUUUGUAUUUCAAGGAAAAGAGAGAGGUUAAUACCUGAUUGGGUUUGUACCAUUGUAAGCACAGCUGUACUUCAUUUCCACCUCCAAGUUCCAGUUAUUUUAUUCUAAAUCCUGCAUCACUGGGAAUCUGCCUUGACCCCUGGAAUGACAAUCGACUGGAAAUUGAAGAGGUCUGCACCCUGGUUUUUUUUUGUUGUUUGUUUGUUUGUUUAGGUUUUUUGGUGUGGCUGUUUUUUGUUUUUUAUUUUUUUAAUGUCCUUUAGAAAUUUUCUGUUUUCUUUGAAACUGAGCAAGGCAAACAGCCUUUUCUGUAAUGUUGUAAGUGGCUACACCGCAUCUAUAAUUUUAUCUCAUCUGAUUCUUGAUUAAAAGGUUCUUCAGACCUAAAAUAACAUGAUUAAAUUUCUUAUUUUUGUGUGUGUGUGUGUGUCAGUUUCUACUGGAAGAUUAAAAUAAGCCCUUUUAUUUCAUGCAGAAUUAGAGUUCUCUUGCACAUGUAUGUAGGUGUACACUCCCCAAGCACAGGUGCAUACACACAUGUACAUACUCAAAAGACACACAAGGACGUAUGGAUAAAUAAAAUCACAUGGAGUAUGCAGCAAUAAGAUUUCCAUGUUAGUCAUUCAAAUUUGCCCAUAUGCCUUUAAAUUUUACCCUGUUGCAUAUAAGCAUUAUGGCAACCUAUAAUUAACUGACCCAGUAUUCUAUUUUACAAUCCCUUCUCAUAACUCAGUGCAGAAAAGAGGGGUGUUCAUUUAAUGAACAGUUUUCAGCUCUUUGUCAGGGUGUGUUUGGAGGCAGGCUUGCAGGUCACCAUCAAUACCCUGUUAGAAGCAGGUUUUUUACUUUUGAAGUCUCCCAUAUAAUUUCCUAAGUUAGUAUAUAAGCACUUCCAAAAGCUGAGUAACAGCCAAGCCAGAAGAAGUUUCAUGUUUCAUUAUUGAAGCAAACUUGUUCCACUAAAGCACAGGAAAACUAACACCUAAAGUAUCAAUUAAUUUUGGAUGCCCUCUCUGAGAUAGCAAGGACUGCAUUUUUUCAGAGUAGCUGGUAUUAGAUACUGAGUACAAGACAUGAUUUUUAUCAGCUUUGGUUGUAACUGAGAGUGUUCAGUGUUUUUGUAUAUCAACUUUAGGACUUCCAAGUCAGGUUGUCAGAAAAUGAAGAAUCUAGAAUUAAUGACCACCCCUGAAAAUUUAAAUUACUUAAUUAGCAUCAUAGGAAAUCUGGGGCGGAAGCCAGGACAAAAUGUCAUUCCCUCCCCCUCUGCAAUGUUCACUUUCUUAGCUGUGAAAGUGGUUCUUUCCUGUAAUUCCUUGCCUCAUUCCUAACCUCAGCUAAAAAUAAAUUUGCAAUCUGCUUUAUUUUAUGGUCCUGCAUCAUCCUUAAAGGUAGUUACAAUAAAAUAGGAAAAAUAUGCUCUCAAGUGCUUUUAACUUACUCAUCCCACCCUCUGAGUCUUCUCACAUACCUUAGUCUGCUUCCCCAGACUUCAUCCUACUCUACUGUCCAUUUCUUUAUCCCAUUCUGCUUGUCUUAACCAGUUCUUUUGUAUGUUUCCCAGAUUCCUGUCCAGUGUGUCUGUCUCUUUCCAUUGCCCAACACCUGCUUUUCCCCUCUUCCAGCUACAGGUCCUAAUCUCCAAUUUCACUCUUUUCAUGCAAUUGGAGUGUCUGUCUGUUGUUACUCCCUCUCCCUCCCCUGCCUUGUCCUCAUUUUUUGGCCAGCCACUCACUUUUAGCUCAUCUUUCCCUGUGCUUUCUAGGGUUCACGACUUCCCUUAGCUGUUUUGAGCUUCUCUUCUCCCCAGUUGCCCAUUUUACAUAUUCCUCCCUUUCCCCAAGGGCAGUGGGGAGGCCCCUGCUGCUCUCUGACAGACACUUCUCCUAGGACAGUGAAAAGGAGCUUUAGUGUUCUGGAAUAUAUACUGGUAGUGGUGACAAGCGUGGUAAAGUCCCAUAUGAUGAGAACAUUUGAGAUGGACCUAAAGGCUUCUGGGUCUAGAAGUUGUUUAUGGUGGCAAAGAAGAUGCUCAUAUUCCCUCUGAGGAAAUGCAAUCCAAAUACAAACCAGAAAGUAAAGGAAGAGGAGGGACAGAAGGCUGAGAUGUUUCUCUGCGAGUCUGUCCAAGUUUCUGUGUCACUGCUUUUGCAUAGAUUGUUGUGGGAAGGAAUCUUGGAAUCAUCUGAAACAGAAAUUAGGGAGAGGCUGAGCCUAGGGAGUAUGUACAUGUCUGCAGCUGAGUUAAGAGAGGCCCAUCUGCUGUGCAGGGUUUCAUGAGUGUUUUCUUCUUCUCCUCAGUGAACUAUACCUACUGCACAAGUGGCAAGUGAAUUUUAGAUGCAUAAGUCAAAAUAUUCAUGUUGCAAGGUUGCUGCUGAAUAAAAUUUAACAAUCUGAUUUUACAUUUGUGUCUGUGUGUAUAUAUUUACUUAUUUGUGCACAUUACAUGGAAAAUAAAAUCACUGCGUUCUGAUGUGUUUGUGCUAAUAGAAAAUGAUGCCAUUUACACUCCAUUGUUAAUGUGAUUUUAUGUGAUUUAUUGACAUGGAAGUUUAUUUUGGACAUAUGAAGACCUGGGAGAGUAGGAUUAUAAUAACAACAAUAAUUUGUCUUUUUAAUGCUAAGAAUGAAAUAAAGAAAAAAAAGAAAAAAACUUGCUAAGCUUUGUUUAACCUUCAGGGGUUCUGGAAAAGCAGCUGUCACUUUUUAAAAUCUUGUUUAGUAUAUGCCAUCAUUUUUCAUCUGGAUCCCGUGUUGAUACUGCAGCUGUGCUGGAGGAAAAGGAAGCUUCCACCUUUCCGAGUCCAGAACAAUGUACUCAAUCUUGGAGACAAGCGCUGAGAACAAAAGAGAGUGUGCUUGCAUGGAUCUGAUUAUUCUGGCACAGAAGUGGUGGCAGUGGAUUUCUGUGUCUAGCCUACUGUUGCUAAUAGUGAUUUCUGUAAGCUGAUGGAGCACAGAGUACCUUAUUACCAAAUGCCUUCAAAGACAUGUUUUGCAAUCAUUGCCAUGUCACAGUUGUACAGUGCUGUGCUCUGAAGUGUUGUGAAGGCCCUUAGGCAGCCUUAAUGUAAAAACAUUUGCUGAAGAGCCAUGAAGACAACUAUCAUCAUCCAAGGGUGAAUUUUAAUUCAAAAUAAUCUUUAUCCACAAAUAAAAUCUGUAAUUUGGUUCAUUGCUUCAGUAAAAUGAUUUUUUUUUUUACAGAAGCAAGAAUAGUUUAGUCUGUUCUUGGCAGUUAAUCAUAUUUGCUGAACUAUUUAAAUAAUUCAGUAACUCCCUCUCAUGAGUUAAAUGCAUUGCUUAUUGUAGGGAAUGACAUCAUUACUGUCCUUUCGUCAAUGUAGGUCCGUAUAAACCAGCAGAUGCAAAAAUAGAAUAAUAGAAUCAUCAAGGUUGGAAGCGACCUUUAAGAUCAUCAAGUCCAACCAUCCACCCAGCACUGCCCCUGUAACCCCUAAACCACAUCACCCAGUGUCAGAUCCAGAUGCGUCUUGAACACCUCCAGGGAUGUGACUCUGCCACAUCCAUGGGCAACCUAUUCCAAUACCUGACUACCCUAACAGUGAAAAAUUUUUUCUAGUAUCUAAUCUGAAUCUCUCAUCUCAGUUUAAGGUAAUUUCCUUUAGUCCUCUCACUGUAGGAACGGCAGAAGAGACCAGCCCCCACCUCCCUACAACCCCCUUUCAAGUACUUGUAGAGAGCAAUGAGGUCCACCCUGAGCCUCCUCCAGGCUGAACAAACCCAGCUCCCUCAGCUGUUCCUCAUAAGACAAAACAUGUCCUAUGAGGAACAGCAAAAAUGUUUCAGGGCUCCCAGUUCUAUAGUCAUUGAAGGUUGCUGUCAGGGUGAGAUCAUGUACCAGCCCCUUUUCUGCAUUGCUUUUCUUCAGAAGAAAAUCUGCCUGUUUGGGCUGGAUGGGAGCAGCAGCAGGCACCAGGCAGAGACAAGUGCCCUGACACUCACUGUCUGCUUCACUCCAGGCACCAACCUCUGACUCAAUCUUUGCCAAAUUCUCUGUGAGCAGUAUUGGCCAGAGGAGUAAAUAUGUUCUUUCUUCAUCAAGCAGAAAUUCAACAGAAGUAAACUUAAAUGGUGUUUGAACGCUCUGUAUUUACCUUGUACGAUUUUACAUGAAGAAAAAUAUGUGGAUUAUAUCACUGUCAGAUUGCUGUCCUGUGUAAGACUUGAGGACAAGUUGGAUCAAGCUGAUAAGCCAAAAUUUGUGCUAUUUAGUUCACCAAGAGGUGGCAGCCUUCACUCAAGUCCCUCCAGACUUGUCUGCUACAGGUUGACGAGAUGUGCACCCGGCAUGGACAAUGGUUGGUCUUGCGGGCAUGUAUGUGAAUGAAAGAAACAUAAACAAAAUAUUCCUGCUGGUCUUCAUUGCUUCCUACUUAUAUUAAAAAGAGAUGGUGAGAAAAAGCACAUCCCAAUUUUUCUGGACAUUUUGCACCUUUGAGAAGACAAUGUUUUGAUUAUUUUGUGAAGAUUCUAUGAAAUUUAUAGCUAAAUAAAGUUUCUAAAACAUUAUUAAGGCCAAAGAGUAUCUGGGAUGGGACUAUAUAUCGUGAGAUUUUGAUUCCUUAUAUUUUGUGUUGUGCAACAUGCAACAGCUUUGAUUUUAGAUUUUCUGACCUAUGAGGAUGACUACUGAUAGAAACCAGAUUGAGAUAUGAUGCUCUGUUUGUGAUUUAAUCUCCCAUAUGCCUUUUGAAAGCAGAUAAGUAAUUUCCAUCAUCAUUUGCAUUA